GUUUGGGUUUGACUUUUGAGGAAAGCAACUGAUCAUGUUUUUCUUUCCAGAAUUGUGGUGGUUUUGGACUCCAUGAUUAAGGUGUUCACAUUCACACACAAUCCCCAUCAGUUGCACGUCUUCGAAACCUGCUAUAACCCCAAAGGCCUCUGUGUCCUUUGUCCCAAUAGUAACAACUCCCUCCUGGCCUUUCCGGGCACGCACACGGGCCAUGUGCAGCUCGUGGACCUGGCCAGCACGGAGAAGCCACCCGUGGACAUUCCUGCACACGAGGGUGUCCUGAGCUGCAUUGCACUCAACCUGCAGGGAACAAGAAUUGCAACUGCAUCCGAGAAAGGCAUUUAAUCCAGGAACUGCGAAGAGGAUCUCAAGCAGCCAAUAUUUACUGCAUUAACUUCAAUCAGGAUGCGUCCCUCAUCUGCGUAUCCAGCGACCACGGCACAGUGCAUAUUUUUGCAGCUGAAGAUCCAAAAAGGAAUAAACAGUCCAGUUUGGCCUCAGCCAGUUUCCUUCCAAAAUACUUCAGUUCCAAGUGGAGUUUCUCCAAGUUUCAGGUUCCCUCAGGCUCUCCGUGCAUUUGUGCCUUUGGAACAGAGCCAAACGCCGUCAUUGCAAUUUGUGCAGACGGCAGCUACUACAAAUUCCUGUUCAA
RNAcentral lists this small RNA (652 nucleotides) under Pongo abelii (Sumatran orangutan). Its description in RNAcentral is "retained intron". The record is from RNAcentral. Lineage: Eukaryota; Metazoa; Chordata; Mammalia; Primates; Hominidae.